This 28-nucleotide non-coding RNA is filed under the name Bombyx mori (domestic silkworm). The record is from RNAcentral. Lineage: Eukaryota; Metazoa; Arthropoda; Insecta; Lepidoptera; Bombycidae.
UCACGUAAUAUGCUAUCAUUGCUGGUUG